GAUGAACGCUGGCGGCGUGCCUAAUACAUGCAAGUCGAGCGAACAGAUGAGGAGCUUGCUCCUCUGACGUUAGCGGCGGACGGGUGAGUAACACGUGGAUAACCUACCUAUAAGACUGGGAUAACUUCGGGAAACCGGAGCUAAUACCGGAUAAUAUAUUGAACCGCAUGGUUCAAUAGUGAAAGACGGUUUUGCUGUCACUUAUAGAUGGAUCCGCGCCGCAUUAGCUAGUUGGUAAGGUAACGGCUUACCAAGGCAACGAUGCGUAGCCGACCUGAGAGGGUGAUCGGCCACACUGGAACUGAGACACGGUCCAGACUCCUACGCGAGGCAGCAGUAGGGAAUCUUCCGCAAUGGGCGAAAGCCUGACGGAGCAACGCCGCGUGAGUGAUGAAGGUCUUCGGAUCGUAAAACUCUGUUAUUAGGGAAGAACAAAUGUGUAAGUAACUAUGCACGUCUUGACGGUACCUAAUCAGAAAGCCACGGCUAACUACGUG
This 497-nucleotide ribosomal RNA is filed under the name uncultured bacterium. RNAcentral's name for it is "partial 16S ribosomal RNA". It matches the Rfam family "Bacterial small subunit ribosomal RNA", at positions 28 to 507 of the family's 1533-position model. The record is from RNAcentral.